GAUGAAGAACGUAGCGAAAUGCGAUAAAUAAUGUGAAUUGCAGAAUUCAGUGAAUCAUCGAAUCUUUGAACGCACAUUGCGCCCGCCAGUAUUCUGGCGGGCAUGCCUGUUCGAGCGUCAUUUCAACCAUCAAGCCCCCGGCUUGUGUUGGGGACCUGCGGCUGCCGCAGGCCCUGAAAACCAGUGGCGGGCUCGCUGUCACACCGAGCGUAGUAGAUUUUCAUCUCGCUCAGGGCGUGCUGCGGGUUCCGGCCGUAAAAAGCCUUAUUUACCCAAGGUUGACCUCGGAUCAGGUAGGAAGACCCGCUGAACUUAAGCAUAUCAAUAAGCGGAGGA
Molecule: unclassified non-coding RNA, 336 nt
Filed under: soil metagenome
Description: partial contains 5.8S ribosomal RNA, internal transcribed spacer 2, and large subunit ribosomal RNA
Rfam family: 5.8S ribosomal RNA (bases 1-120)
Source: RNAcentral